UGCCGAUGAGUUUUGGUUGCUAUAUUCUUAUGGUUGUCUUCUUAUUUUCUCUGAUGAUGAUCCAAACUAAAUGGAUAUUGAAGGGCUGGCCUAUUUUUUUUUUUUUACCCAUAUAUAUGAUGUCUUAAAGUUGAUGGGUGCCGAUAGUUUUGCUUGCUAUAUUCUUAUGGUUGCCUUCUUAUUUUUUCUGACGAUGAUUCAAACUUAAUUAAUGGAUAUUGAAGGAAAUGGCUUCAUAGAUUGCUA
Molecule: long non-coding RNA, 246 nt
Filed under: Elaeis guineensis (African oil palm)
Lineage: Eukaryota; Viridiplantae; Streptophyta; Magnoliopsida; Arecales; Arecaceae
Description: long non-coding RNA (EGUI_LNC003013)
Source: RNAcentral